RNAcentral lists this ribosomal RNA (300 nucleotides) under uncultured Myxococcales bacterium. Its description in RNAcentral is "bacterial SSU rRNA". It matches the Rfam family "Bacterial small subunit ribosomal RNA", at positions 114 to 422 of the family's 1533-position model. Lineage: Bacteria; Pseudomonadati; Myxococcota; Myxococcia; Myxococcales. The record is from RNAcentral.
CACGUAGGUUAUCUGCCUCUAGGUGAGGGACAACCGAGGGAAACUUCGGCUAAUACCACAUAUGGGCUUCGGCUCAAAGGCUUCGGCCGCCUGGAGAUGAGCCUGCGUCCCAUUAUUUAGUCCUUGUUGGUGGGGUAAUGGCCUACCAAGGGUACGAUGGGUAGCUGGUCUGAGAGGAUGAUCAGCCACACUGGGACUGAGACACGGCCCAGACUCCUACGGGAGGCAGCAGUGGGGAAUCUUGCGCAAUGGGCGAAAGCCUGACGCAGCCACGCCGCGUGUGUGAUGAAGGCCCCAGGG